Molecule: ribosomal RNA, 197 nt
Filed under: uncultured bacterium
Lineage: Bacteria
Description: partial 16S ribosomal RNA
Rfam family: Bacterial small subunit ribosomal RNA
Source: RNAcentral
ACGCUCGACACCUACGGGGGCAGCAGUGGGGAAUAUUGCACAAUGGGGGAAACCCUGAUGCAGCGACGCCGCGUGAGCGAAGAAGUAUCUCGGUAUGUAAAGCUCUAUCAGCAGGGAAGAAGAUGACGGUACCUGACUAAGAAGCACCGGCUAAAUACGUGCCGGCAGCCGCGGUAAUCUGAGCGGGCUGGCAAGGC